GCGGCUCCUCAGUCCCAAGCAGCAGUGUGGAGCUGUUUGAGAAACUUCUAGCACGAGAGAAAGAAAACACACCGCACGUGCCCCUCUAGGACCAGGGAGAGGAGCACCUCGUGUCCCGAGAUGAUGUGCAGGCAGCUCUCCUCCUCCAUCAUCAGCAACCUGGGGCAGCCGCUGGAGGGGCUGGACAGCCCCCUCCCCGUCAUCACCCCCGUGGUCCUUGCCUGCAUUUCCUGUGCGGCCGCCAUCCUCCCCAUCUGGGCGAAGCAGCUGGACUUCGAGAGCGCCUUCCAUUUCCGCUUCGUCACGCUAACCACCACGGGGCCUGGGGACGUGGUGUGAGACUCCCUCACUCCCUCCGGCCCAUCUCCAUUUACAUCAUCACUGGAUGGAGAUGGCGUACACUGCUUUCACGCUGGUGCGAAACAGGCUGAUCCACAUCCACGAAAGCCUCAGGCUAUUCUUUGCACACGGGAAGUUUCAGCCUCCUGUUAAAAAGCAAGGCUCCCUUGGCUCUCAUGUGACAAUGCCGCUGGCCCAGCUGGCUCUCUUGUCCUCUUUAGGGGCAGUGGAGUUAGAACUGGUGGCAUUGCAGCCUGUCACCUGAGACCUCGGAGGCACAACCUGCGUGAUGGCUGAUUUCAUUCUCGAGGCCCUGCAGACAUGCAGCCAAUGCCCUUCCUAUCAGGACAUUAGAAAAACUUGUCACCAUCUCCCCAAGUCCAAUGAAUUGUCCCGUCUUCAUUUCUUCAAAAGCCCCACCUAUUAUGUAGAUGAAACCAUCUUACAGAUGUCACUGGAUUUCUUGCAACAUGAGAAAAAAAUUACUUUUUUUUUUUUUUUUUGCAAUUUGUACUCUCAGCUAAAUCCAGAUCCUCCUGAGCUGCUUCUCCUUUUCCCUCAAUGACAUGGCUCAUCUGAGCCACCUUUUCUUGAAUGACUGCAUUAAUGGGAUCAGCCUCAUCCCAGCCCUUGUCAAAUGCAUGGAUGGCACUGAGUGGGACUGCCACCUGUGUUCACUGGGGCCUGGGAUAUUUCCUGAUCGCCAAUUCGGUAGACCCGUGUUCUCACCAAGCGGCCCGUGCUGGAUGGCACCUCCGGAAUGAGGUGGCUGAUACCAGUGUCCAUGCUUAUGUGGCUGGAUGGGUACUGGGAAGGGUUGGCGCUCGGCUGGUGGGUACCCUUUUGGAGGGUUCACUGUUACGUUUGCCGAGUGAGCAAUGCGCAGGGCCAAGACGGUAGAGCAAGAGAGAUUUACUAAGGCCACUGAAACAGAUGCUCACGAUGGUGCCAGCCCCAACGUCAAGGAGAUAUUAGGCUUAUAAAGGAUCCGUGGCGGGAACUUGUGGUGGGAACAAUAAAGAAGGAGGGGAGGGUUACACGAUUUAAGGGAGGGGUAGGGCGUCGAGUCCCACAGCAGAGGGCAUCUCUGUAGAUGGUUAACCUGUGCAGGCAGAUGUUUGCCACAGGCCAUUGUCUGAGCAUCCACCUUCUGGGAGACGGCAUACAUCUUGCGUCGGCCUAUUCCCUUAUCUGCAGCAGGUCUCCAAGCUGAAGGGCCACAUUUAGGAGGUGGAGCCUGGGAACCUAUCCUUUAUGAAUAGCAUGUGAACAGAGGGGGAUCUGGUGGCAAAUGCUAGAGGCGGUCCACCCAUAUGGCCUGGUACCCCAGCUCCCUUUGCCUGAGGACUGUCUCUGGCCACUAAAGUGUGGGCACGUGCAGGGCAGGCUGGUAGUGCUGAGCAGUUGUCGCUGAACCAGUGACCCAUGGGAGUGGGUGGACAUAUGGCCCCAGCUUCUUGUGGCUCCCACGGGAUAACCCUGGACCACAUUCAACACUGUCUCCCCAAGUUCCCCAGUGGAAUCGAGCCUCACCUGUGAUGAGUGUGCCCUGGACCGGCCUCCUUCAUUUCCCUGUCUCGUGUCUCCAUCUGUCUUGGGCCCACCCCCGGCCAACCCACUUGCACUCAAAUCCUUGUCUCAGAGUCACUUCCAGCCUGCGAGAGGAGUGUUAAACCAGUGUAUGAACUGGUUGGCUCAGGUACAGGGCAGUACAAGGGUCUCUGUUUUCCUGGUCAGUUGUGAGAAGUGUCUCUUUAAAAGAAUCGAAUUGUCUUGACUGCUUCUUUGAGUGAAUCUUGGAAAAAAAUCAACGUGUGUCCUGUGAUUGGCUAGAUAAGGCAGCUCCUAAGGAAAGGCUGAACUCUGCUCCCAGGCUUCGAACAAAAAUUGUAAGAACUGGUGAAAAGUGCCAGGAGGUUCCAGUUUGAAAAGAAAGGAAGCGCCUAUUUUUGAAGGCCUCUCUGUUUUGUCUUAGAUUCUGGCCAGUGCCAAGGGCCAGCUCUCAGAGGGGUCACAGGCCUUCCUUUCUGUAUCUUUCCUUCUCUUCCUCAUAACUAUUCAUUUCUGAACCCUUUCAGUUCUUUAAGACCUACCUCAGGAAAUAGUAUUGAUACAGGAAAUGGAACAUGACAAAGAAUCGCUGAAGGAUGUGGAAUUGCAGUCAGCAGCCCCUGGGACUGUGGGUUCUAUGGAGCUUCUGGAGUCCUUGAGGUCACAGCAGUCCAAUUUCCUUGCAGCAAAGCCCCUCGAACCCAGAGGUCAUCAAGACUGGCCACUCAAGUGAGAGUACCUGAUCAGACAGUUCAGCCAACAUUCAUUGAGUGCUUGCUGUUUUCAGGCUCAAAGAGAAUUCCAGAAACAAUCAGGCACAUCCUCAGAAAUGUGGAGCUAAUUAUAGGUGGUAUUGAGUCUCUCAGCCACUCCCUUGGCGAGGCAGUAGAAAGUCCUGUUCAGUAGUUCCUGUAGUGGCUCAGUGGUUAACGAACCCAACUAGUAUCCAUGAGAGGAAGCGGGUUCGAUCUCUGGCCCCGCUCAGUGGCUUAAGGAUCUGGCAUUGCCAGGAACUGUGGUGUAGGUGGCAGAUGCAGCUCUGAUCUAGGGAUCUAGUGUGGCUGUGGCUGUGGUGUAGGCCGACGGCUUCAGCUCUGAUUAGACCCCUAGCCUGGGAACCCCCAUAUGCUGCUGGUGUAUAC
RNAcentral lists this long non-coding RNA (3032 nucleotides) under Sus scrofa (pig). RNAcentral describes it as "lncRNA (ENSSSCG00000052576.1)". The record is from RNAcentral. Lineage: Eukaryota; Metazoa; Chordata; Mammalia; Artiodactyla; Suidae.